GGAACGAACGGCCCCGGCACGGAAUUCGGAUUUCAGAUAGACAUCCAGACACUUUUGUACGAUCCUGGGGCUGAGAUCUGAGGCCGGAAAGCACACAGCCACUGGCCUUGAAGAAGUCCUGCCUGUUGGGCGAAAAGUAAAAGGUUGAGUCUUGUGUGAGAAGCAAUUAUUCAGAGUUCAGAGUGGCAGAGAUGCCCGUGGGGGUCAGAGUCCCAGCGCCUCGGCGUGCUUUCUUGCCUUGAGUCGGAGGUCAGCGAUGCUUGAAUUCUUGCUGUUGCUCUUGGCAGCUGCCGCCACGGCCGCCGCGGCCGAAGCCGAGUCCGCCAGUGACGCGAUUGGUAGUCCAAAGGGUGGGGGUGGGAACAUCAGGAUCAAGACUGCGUAUGGCACAGCAUCAUACAAUGGGCAGAUAUUGCAGGCACAUCGAAAAAAAGCCUUAACUCUGAAGUGUGCAAAAUAAAGUCAAGACAUUAUGAGAGAGACUUUUCUGAUGCACUCCAAACACGCACGUCAAGGCUAAUGACGGGUCCUACAUCCAAGACCCAACCUGAACAAUUCAGGCCCUGACUACGGCAUGGUGGAGACUCUCCUUUGAGGUGCAGUAGGCAGGAGAUCGUAGUUCUGGUUCCCAUAAUGAGGGGGUGCAGUAUUCAGCCUGCGGAGACCAGACAGCAUCUGUCCAGCUAAUAAGGAAAUGGCUCCUUUUUCUGUAUUUUUUCCUAUUUUAUAGCACCACAAAUGCCUCAGCACAAAUCAGUGAAGCACUUUAAGAAAUAAGGACAGCACCUGCAUAUAUUCCCAGAUUGUAUAAAUAAUGACCUACUCUAAUGGCUGAGCUAGGAAUUCCUGCUGCUUUUAGCCAGUCCAGAUCUCUCAGCAGUUUCGAUCCUUUUCUCCUACCUGCACCAAACCGCUGGAUUUGGUGAGUGUAUUUAAAUUUUCAUGUUUGCUAAAUACAAGUGAAAAAACUCAAAGCAUUCUUUGACACACCUCACAAAGAGGAGAUGAUUUUAGGGCUGUUUGUUGGGUUUAUAGCUCAGGAAUGACUGUGGUUCCCCUAACCCCCAUUUCACUAUAGAAUCCCCACACCCUUCUUCAGUCAUUUCCAUAACUGCUCCUGGCUGUCUGGCUACUGCUAUUUUAAAUGCACUUGAGCUAAAUGCCCUGUCACAUAAUUUGAGUUUUUCUCCAAAUUGUCCUACGUUUACCUAAAGGCCAUGUUUGAAAACAAAUGCCCAUUACGAUGGAGUCCACCUCAGCGUGCAGAACUUUAUGUCCUGGGCUGAGGUCAUUGACAGCUUGAUGUGAGAGAGGUCAAUUGAAAUAACAGGUCUGGGCAUUAGUAUAAAUGCAUUGCUGUAUUUCACUUUGGAAGGGGAAGCCAGGAACACUGAGUCUGGUGCGAGGCAAAGGCCGACACUGCCUGCGUUCAGUAAUGAGAACGGCGGGCUGCACGCUGCUAAAAUCUGUAAUUAUAAUUACGACUUCUCGCCUUAUUCCCUCUACUGAAUAUUGUAUAUUGUCAUUCAGGUGGUUAGUUACUAAGGUCUUUAUGGUGAAUAUUUUACUUAAAAUUCCCAGUAUAGGAAAGUUAAUGAUUAGUAACACCCUGUCAGUGGUUGCGCAGUAACCGGGAUGAGUAGAGUGCUCUCAGCCAAAGAUUUAAGUUAGAAGUAUUUGUUAAUGUAUGUCUUAGUUGUGCUAUAUGAUGGCACUGUAUGAAUUUAUAAAGAAAGAUGAAUUGAAAUUUCUGUGUUAUAUUAUAAUCUAUCGUUUCCCCUUGAGCAGAUCCUUAUACUUUCAGGGGACCAUUGCUGCUUUUUUCAAGCCAGAGUUUGAUCACAGAGCAGCGUGAGUCUGAAAUGUGUGAUGAGUGACAGAGAACAUCUGGAAAAUCCAGAAGUGACCAUGUUGCAGACUUUCAUGCAAGCCUUUGAUAAACAGAGUUUUUUGUUCUCUUAGAAAACAGGGAUUAGGUGAAUCACAUCAGAUGAAUUCUACAUAGAGGGUUUUGAUUUAUUUCCCUGCAGUCUUUCAAACCUUUUCUCGCCCACCAAUAGGUGAUGCUGAGGGCCACUGACAGUCAUUAGUUCUCCCUUGUGUUUGUUCAUACACACCUAAUAUAAUCUGUGGCGCAUUGAGGUUGAGCUCAGUUUUAAUUUUUUAUGUCUCUAAAAAAGAACAUGCCAUAGGUUUAUGAAGGGGAAUUGGACAUUAUACCCACAUCACAUUCCAGUGAUACUUGCGUGUUAUCCAAGCAAACGUCAGAUACUUCUUUGAUUCGCAAUGUUCUAUCACUCUGGUGUAAUCAUAUCUGUUUUGGCAUUAUUUUUUGAUAACUGCUGUAUGAAGUUUGUAUGUUUAUUACAACCAUACAUCUAUAUGUAAUAAUAAUUUGCUAUUUAAA
Long non-coding RNA from Paramormyrops kingsleyae, 2407 nucleotides. RefSeq lists it as uncharacterized. Lineage: Eukaryota; Metazoa; Chordata; Actinopteri; Osteoglossiformes; Mormyridae. The record is from RefSeq and is a predicted model, not a curated record.